Long non-coding RNA from Myzus persicae (green peach aphid), 3342 nucleotides. RefSeq lists it as uncharacterized. The record is from RefSeq and is a predicted model, not a curated record. The transcript has 4 exons. NCBI's taxonomy places the organism in Eukaryota, Metazoa, Arthropoda, Insecta, Hemiptera, Aphididae.
GAAUGCAGUCAUAGACCAUUCGAUAACGAUGAUCUCAUGGACGAAAACUGUAUUUAUAAUAACACUACUUUGAAUUAUUGUAAUAAUUAUCAUUAUGUGGGAAAGAAACUGUUCCGAUUUCGCUCUACCACCUCUGCAGCUAUCGCGGUCAUUAUGAUACUUCUCUAAUCUGUUGGUACAAUUAAUAAAUAAGCUAAGUCCAUAAGACCAUAAAUUAACAUUAGAACAAAAUUAUUGUAGAUAAUAUUUACAGUCCAGCGACACAAUAGUGAUUAUUGUCUUCUUCGAUAUCUCGUUGAACAUAUUCAAAGGUUUUUUCGUUACUUGUGGAACUUUAAUAUUCCUGCUCUGGCAGAACCUAUCAGGUAAUAUUGACUUAUUUGGAAAUCAAUUUUGAAGAUAAUCAGAUCGAAAUUGAACGACGGCCAUCAAAAUCCAAGGUAAAAUAUUGAAUCAAACAUCAGUUAUUCAUCGGAAAAAGCUGGAUUAGAAGGCACGACGAUUGGGAAUCCUUACUGAUAGAUAUCACAGUUGAUAACGUCAAUGAUUUAAAACUAGACUUUGGAAGAUCGGUCACUAUAAUAACGGUAUAAUAGUUAAUGGAGAUAAGAAAUCUCGGUUUCUGAGACUGACUUUGCGUGGCGUAACUUAUAUGCAAUAUAUAGAUGAAAAUACUUUUUGAUAAAAGACCCUCGGCAACAUGGGCCAUUGGGUUGAUGGAUGCAUAUACUGUGGAGGUAAACGUCAUGUCAUUCGUAUUAAUGCUGUUAGAAAUACAGAGCAAGGAAUAUCUAGGCUAGUUCCACAAAAUAACUUGGAAAGGUAUACCAACUUAUACCUAUUAUAGGAAUGCGAUUUUUGUGUGUAAACAUCGGCUGGUGACGGGGGUCACCAACCAAAGUUAGUUUGACUCGAACCCUAUUAACUAUUACGAUUUACUCAGAGGUGACAUCUAGACUUUUACAGUUUCACAUUACUUUCGUAUACAUAUACAGCAUAUAACAUUCAUUUUUAAAGUUAAAAUACACAAUUGUAAAAAUAUUGUUCGUUAUAAAUAAAAUAUUCAAAAUAAAAAUUUAUAUCAGUAUAUCAGGCAAUUUGUGAAUUUAAAUUCCGAAAUUUUUGAAAUAAUGUUACGAUAAAAAUGCAUAUAAAAUAUAAAUGAUUAACACUAGUGAUCACUGAAGCACAGAAGUUGUGUAGGACAACCAAGGUUUUUUCUAUGACUGAUUUUAAUCAUAUAAUUUUUUUUGCAUAUUAUUUUGAUAGUUAUUUGUUACUUCAUCUAUUUUUAUUAUUUUACACAUUUUUAUUUUAAAGCUGAUAUCAUAUUUUGAUGGACAGUUCAACAGUGACAUUUUAACUUAAACUAAUUAAUAAUACAUAUUAUAAAACAUAUAAAAUAAUAGAAACAUAAAAUAUACGUUUUCCGACCGAGCGUCCUAGCUCAGAAUAUUUUUCGAUCUAGGACAAAUGGACGCGGCCUUUUGGACGCAGCCGUUUGGACGCGAGGUCAUUUAGACGCGGCCGUUUGGACGCGGGUACAUUUGGACGCGAAAAAAACAUAAAUUAUAACAAUAUUUAUUUUCCGGGUAUAGGGAAACUAUACCAUAAUCAUAAUUGAUGUUAUGGAAUUCUUUAUACCUAUAUCAUAUACUUAUAUAUUAUAUCUAUAUAACAUUAUACUUUUAUCACGAUAUUAGGGAUUAUUCGACGUUAUCGAAAAACGUUAUCGAGAAAUUACGAUUAAAAUCCACUCGUAACCAACGAAAACUUUAGUUGACCGAAAGCAGUGGUUAGAUCUACGUUACUUUUAUAAUAUAACAGCGAUUUAUUUAAACACAAUAUAUAUAAUAUUUGAAGUAGUUAUGGCAUUAAUGAAGUCAAAUCGUAAUGAAUGCAUUUUUACUGAAAAUGGUUUUAUAUAUUUAUUUGACAAACUAAAAAAAAUAUAUUGAUGUUGAUAAAAGGAUUUUAAAAAUUGUUCAAAAUUAUGAACAGAGUGGAAUUUUGUCAUUUUUGAGAGGGAUAGCCCAAAAUAUUUCUGUACAGUAACUUAGUAAUUAUUACAUUUUUAAUUGUAUUGUAAUUUGUAUUUUUUAAUAACUGUUUUAGAUUUUUAAUUGUAUUAUAUGUAUACCCUAAUAUAAAAUUACGAAUAAAAUAAAUAUAUUAUAAUUUAUGUUUUUUUCGCGUCCAAAUGUACCCGCGCCCAAACGGCCGCGUCUAAAUGACCUCGCGUCCAAAUGGCUGCGUCCAAACGGCCGCGUCCAUUUGUCCCUGUUCGAAUAUUUUUUGAUAUGCAAUGAUUUAUCAUUUCAUUUAAGUUUAAUACUUAAAUUAAUACUUAAUAUUACAGUGGCUUUAUACUUGAUUAUGACUGACGAGGGAAAUUCACAACUUUUUUACAGCAGAGUGGUUAUAGGUGCCUAUAUUUUUUCACCAAUCAAUAUUUCACUUUAAUAUUAUAAUGUUCUUUUGGUUGUAUUCUUCAAAUAAUAUCUCAUAUUUUCUUAACAUGAUAGAAUAUAUUACAAAAAAAUAUAAAAAAAUUUAUUUCUCUUAACGAAAUUCACUAAGUGUAUUUUCUUGUUUACAAUUAUUUUAAACGUAACAUUUAACAGUGCUUAUUUAGUUCAAAUAAUUAUUAUAAAUGAAUGAUAAAUAGGUUCUGUCGAAUUUGAUUUCAUUUCGGUGGGUAAAUAUAUGAAUGCUCCACCAACUGCACUAUUAUUGCAGACAUGAAAUCUUGUAUAAUUGUAAUCAGUGCAUUGGAAACAUUACAUUAUUACAAUAUUCAAACAAUGAUGAGAUUUAAAUUGGAGACAAAGCACAACGGAUCAGCCAUAGAGCUAAGCAAGGAACAUGGAUCCGUGGAAACUGAAAAUUGUUCAGGGUUCUGCGGUGCAGGACUCCACGAGCCCGACAAAGGACACUGAUGUGGUUGAGUCGUUGAGCCAGGACAAUAAUCACGAAAAGUGUCAAGUUCUCUAUAACUAUAAACCUACAAAUGUCCACCGAUUCUCUCCCCUUUGCGCCCAGUGAUGAUCCUGUUGGUCAAAUCUUGCCUCUAGUCACCGCCAAUUCCUCAGCACUAAUAAUUAUAGCUGUCUUCGCUCGCUCAAUAUUUUUGAUCAUCAUUUCCUUCAUCCAAUAGUCGUCUUCAGCACUUGCGCAUCAUCGACAUACACUAGACGCUCUCCGACAACAGUCUUGUCACUCCCUCGUCCGUCGAGGUUGUAACAAUAGACUUUUUAGUUUUUAUCGAUUAAUAUAUCAUUAACAGACAAAAUGUGUUAAAUAUUUACUGUUAAUACGAUAAAAAUCGAUUAUUGGUAAUAA